This 238-nucleotide ribosomal RNA is filed under the name uncultured bacterium. Its description in RNAcentral is "partial 16S ribosomal RNA". It matches the Rfam family "Bacterial small subunit ribosomal RNA", at positions 95 to 334 of the family's 1533-position model. The record is from RNAcentral.
CCGGCGCACGGGUGAGUAACACGUAUCCACCUGCCGUCUACUCUUGGACAGCCUUCCGAAAGGAAGAUUAAUACAAGAUGGCAUCAUGAGUUCACAUGUUCACAUGAUUAAAGGUAUUCCGGUAGACGAUGGGGAUGCGUUCCAUUAGAUAGUAGGCGGGGUAACGGCCCACCUAGUCUUCGAUGGAUAGGGGUUCUGAGAGGAAGGUCCCCCACAUUGGAACUGAGACACGGUCCAA